UACGUAGGGUGCAAGCGUUGUCCGGAAUUAUUGGGCGUAAAGAGUUCGUAGGCGGCUUGUCGCGUCCGUUGUGAAAGCUUGGGGCUCAACCCCAAGUCUGCAGUGGGUACGGGCAGGCUAGAGUCAGGUAGGGGAGAACGGAAUUCCUGGUGUAGCGGUGAAAUGCGCAGAUAUCAGGAGGAACACCGGUGGCGAAGGCGGUUCUCUGGGCCUGUACUGACGCUGAGGAACGAAAGCGUGGGGAGCGAACAGG
This 253-nucleotide ribosomal RNA is filed under the name uncultured bacterium. RNAcentral describes it as "partial 16S ribosomal RNA". It matches the Rfam family "Bacterial small subunit ribosomal RNA", at positions 524 to 776 of the family's 1533-position model. The record is from RNAcentral.